GGGCUCAUGGCGCAGUUGGAUAGCGCGCUUCCUUGACAUGGAAGAGGUCACAGGUUCAAGUCCUGUUGGGCCCACCA
Molecule: transfer RNA, 77 nt
Filed under: Candidatus Gorgyraea atricola
Lineage: Bacteria; Pseudomonadati; Candidatus Omnitrophota
Description: tRNA-Val
Rfam family: tRNA
About the family: Transfer RNA (tRNA) molecules are approximately 80 nucleotides in length. Their secondary structure includes four short double-helical elements and three loops (D, anti-codon, and T loops).
Source: RNAcentral